Molecule: microRNA, 22 nt
Filed under: Branchiostoma belcheri (Belcher's lancelet)
Lineage: Eukaryota; Metazoa; Chordata; Leptocardii; Amphioxiformes; Branchiostomatidae
Description: bbe-miR-10b-3p
Gene: bbe-miR-10b-3p
Source: miRBase by way of RNAcentral
CAAGGUGGGAUUGACAGGUUCA